This 799-nucleotide ribosomal RNA is filed under the name Salmonella enterica subsp. enterica serovar Oslo. RNAcentral describes it as "partial 23S ribosomal RNA". It matches the Rfam family "Bacterial large subunit ribosomal RNA", at positions 392 to 1190 of the family's 2925-position model. Lineage: Bacteria; Pseudomonadati; Pseudomonadota; Gammaproteobacteria; Enterobacterales; Enterobacteriaceae. The record is from RNAcentral.
AUGUGCUGUGAGCUCGAUGAGUAGGGCGGGACACGUGGUAUCCUGUCUGAAUAUGGGGGGACCAUCCUCCAAGGCUAAAUACUCCUGACUGACCGAUAGUGAACCAGUACCGUGAGGGAAAGGCGAAAAGAACCCCGGCGAGGGGAGUGAAAAAGAACCUGAAACCGUGUACGUACAAGCAGUGGGAGCACAGGUUUACCUGUGUGACUGCGUACCUUUUGUAUAAUGGGUCAGCGACUUAUAUUCUGUAGCAAGGUUAACCGUAUAGGGGAGCCGUAGGGAAACCGAGUCUUAACCGGGCGUUAAGUUGCAGGGUAUAGACCCGAAACCCGGUGAUCUAGCCAUGGGCAGGUUGAAGGUUGGGUAACACUAACUGGAGGACCGAACCGACUAAUGUUGAAAAAUUAGCGGAUGACCUGUGGCUGGGGGUGAAAGGCCAAUCAAACCGGGAGAUAGCUGGUUCUCCCCGAAAGCUAUUUAGGUAGCGCCUCGUGAACUCAUCUCCGGGGGUAGAGCACUGUUUCGGCUAGGGGGCCAUCCCGGCUUACCAACCCGAUGCAAACUGCGAAUACCGGAGAAUGUUAUCACGGGAGACACACGGCGGGUGCUAACGUCCGUCGUGAAGAGGGAAACAACCCAGACCGCCAGCUAAGGUCCCAAAGUCAUGGUUAAGUGGGAAACGAUGUGGGAAGGCCCAGACAGCCAGGAUGUUGGCUUAGAAGCAGCCAUCAUUUAAAGAAAGCGUAAUAGCUCACUGGUCGAGUCGGCCUGCGCGGAAGAUGUAACGGGGCUAAACCAU